UACGGGGGGGGCAAGCGUUGUUCGGAAUUACUGGGCGUAAAGGGCUCGUAGGUGGUCAACUAAGUCGGACGUGAAAUCCCUCGGCUUAACCGGGGAACUGCGUCCGAUACUGGAUGACUUGAGUUCGGGAGAGGGAUGCGGAAUUCCAGGUGUAGCGGUGAAAUGCGUAGAUAUCUGGAGGAACACCGGUGGCGAAGGCGGCAUCCUGGACCGACACUGACGCUGAGGAGCGAAAGCCAGGGGAGCAAACGGGG
RNAcentral lists this ribosomal RNA (254 nucleotides) under uncultured bacterium. Its description in RNAcentral is "partial 16S ribosomal RNA". It matches the Rfam family "Bacterial small subunit ribosomal RNA", at positions 524 to 777 of the family's 1533-position model. The record is from RNAcentral.